Molecule: ribosomal RNA, 318 nt
Filed under: uncultured bacterium
Lineage: Bacteria
Description: bacterial SSU rRNA
Rfam family: Bacterial small subunit ribosomal RNA
Source: RNAcentral
UCGUCAGCUCGUGUCGUGAGAUGUUGGGUUAAGUCCCGCAACGAGCGCAACCCUUAAGCUUAGUUGCCAUCAUUAAGUUGGGCACUCUAAGUUGACUGCCGGUGACAAACCGGAGGAAGGUGGGGAUGACGUCAAAUCAUCAUGCCCCUUAUGAUUUGGGCUACACACGUGCUACAAUGGACAAUACAAAGGGUAGCGAAACCGCGAGGUCAAGCAAAUCCCAUAAAGUUGUUCUCAGUUCGGAUUGUAGUCUGCAACUCGACUACAUGAAGCUGGAAUCGCUAGUAAUCGUAGAUCAGCAUGCUACGGUGAAUACGU